This is a long non-coding RNA of Nerophis lumbriciformis (worm pipefish), 1325 nucleotides long. RefSeq lists it as uncharacterized. The record is from RefSeq and is a predicted model, not a curated record. NCBI's taxonomy places the organism in Eukaryota, Metazoa, Chordata, Actinopteri, Syngnathiformes, Syngnathidae.
AAGGUAACUACGAAAAAUUUUUCAAUUUUAGCUUUAUUUUAACAAAGAAUCUUACAAUACAAUAAACAUAUGUUUCCUAUUGCACUCAAAUAGCACAUUUGGCAUUAAACACAAAAUUGUGUUUUUCUUGUUGCACUCAAAAGAACAAUUUUCCAUAAUCAAGAAUUAGGUUAGAAUAUAAUUAAAAAGCUUCAUUUACAUAAAAUUAAAUUAUUUAUGGUUGCCAAUCCUGGUCUGUGCUUUAAGAACAAUACACACAGACGAGCCAUGUUAUGUUUAUUGUAUAAUAAAAAUAAUGACAUUUUUCAAAACAUGUUAAAGGUUACAAAAGCUUUUUACGCUUGCAUGGAAAUGGCCUAAAAACGUAUUUUAAAAUCGGAUUCUUAUUAAAAAAACAAACUUUUUUUUUUUAUUGCAAAUCAAUUUAGAAUGGGGUUGAAUAGGAAUCGUAAUUCGGAUGUGAAUGGAUUUGUUUUGUGCAUCCUCUAGGAUUCAGCAUUAAUCGUGCCGAUGAGGUCAUUGUCAAGUGUAAGACGUUUCAAGCGCGUGCACAGCUGGAAGAAACUGCGGGAUAACGACCACUUUUGUACUGCCAUCUUGUGGAGUCAAUAGAAAAAACACCACACCAGGACGUCGCCUACAGCCACAGUUGGUAAUACCAAUGUUUUUUAAUCCUGGAGUUAAUUGGAGACCCGCAUGUACACUCAUGACCUCAUGACACGUUUUAAUUAUAAUGCCUUAUUUUAGACUUUGGUCAGGUUGCAAGGGUUCACAAAAUCCACGGUUUGGAUCUUGUCACGGUUUUUGGUUUUGUGCACAUUGUUGUUUUUGUCCUCGUCCCCGUUUCUCCUCCCCGUCUGCUUGUUCCUACCCCGUCGUGCUCACCAGAGGACCUGAGCCCAUGUCAAUGGGAGGAUCCUUUGCGACCCUGGAAUCCGAGCGGGAGAAGCUCAUUUCCUUCAAACAUAUACGCUCUCUGACCCCUGACCCUUGGCGUUCGACCUCCCGCCAGAAGCGGGGCUCCCGCAGGAAACGCUCCCCCGCCGAGAGCGGGGCGGCUCCGGGGCGACCUUUGACCCCGCCACCGCGGACAACAAUGAGCGCUUGCAAGGGACACGUCUGAAAGGUUAGCGUGCUCAUAAAGACGCCGGCACGGGGGUGUCCUAACUUUUUCCACAGAGGGGGAAAAAUGAAAGCUUGCCAUUUUGAUAUUUGUCAUAUUUAAAACCAACACAACAUUUAUUGUAUUAAUUAAGACUCCCCUCAAUUUUGAUGAACAUUAAAGUCUCAGGGACCCAAAAGGGUCUCUGUCAUCAAUCAAUCAA